GUCUCAAUAAGAAGAAGAAGGUGGUGGUUAUUCCUUUGCACAAUGUGUAAAUUUAUGAGUGCAGACAGCGAAGUAGAAUAUUUGAGAGAAUUGUCUGUCUCUAAGCCCUGCCUACACAUGGGAUGUGAGAAGGCCUGUAUCACCAUAUGGAUGGGAGAAGGUUCCAGUUUGCAACGGAACAUUCAGUGGUUAGCAUGGUCCUGCAAAGAUGAAUGUACCUGAUGGGUUAAUGAGUUACCAGUAGGGGGUGCCCUGGGCAGCAUUUGCAGAAGCAAUACAUGCAAACAAGGAAGGAGAUACUCCAACUGAGUCAUCAAUUAUGGAAAGGUGAAGAAUCCUGUUGGACCUGUCCUCGGAGUGCACCAGGUCUUAAUGUGUGUGCAUAUAAGGCCCAAAAUCUUGGAAGAACAAAGAACGCUGUCAAAGAUCUACACAAUGUAAGGGCAUAUGAAGAUGAAGAGGAAAUUUUCCUAGACUGCUGCUUUUCAGUGUGGGACCAUAUUAAAAAUAUUACAGUGGAGGGUUUCUUUAAAUCUGUCAGCUCAGUAAGAUUGCAAAACUGACAUUUCUAAUAUAAACAGGUACUUUUAAUUGCUUUGGUAGAAACCAGAUUUGUGGUUUUGAAGUACUGUAUACUUACAGAAAAAAUUCCCUAAUUUGUAUAGCAUUAGGUGAAUUUUGUUGGAAAUUAAAACAGGUACACUGAACAGAACUGUUUCAGGGCUCACUCUAAGUAUUCUGACAGCAGAAUAUUCAGCUAUGAAUAUAAACAUUAAAGUAUGUUGAUUUGUGUUACUAUGGGUACAUUGACUUAUGGUACUUUCUAGGUGUGGUUAGUGUCUUCCCUAGUUUCUGUUGGUGUUGAAGUUGUUCCUGGUCAUGCAGGUCCAGAGAAAAGGAUUAGAGGUGUCCUUAAGUACUACCUUUACUUUCCUGUGCUGAACUUAACAGAACUUCACUUCAUCAUUAUCUGGGUUCACUGUUUCUGAUUGGAAAAUGGUUACAACUCCAUGUAUAAUGCCUCAUCUGAACCCUGACCGUGCUUGCUGGUGAACUAAUUUGUGGUGACACUGCUUGGAGCAGCUGCUUAAAGCUCUUGCUGGGUCUCCCAUAAUCCUUACAGAGCUGAAAUCCUGAGGGAAUGGUGUUCUGCUUCUACCUAAUGCUGAUGCGGUUCAUCUGUGUUCAGUGUCUUUGUCUAAGGCAAAACUGGUAUCUGUAAGAUACUUCAGAGAUAGUACAUUUAUAUUUUAUAUAUAAUAUUUUUGCAGUGGUUUUUAAUUACUGGUCAUUCAGGAAAGAGAUUAAGUGAUGAGCAAAAUGUAUCAUUAUGGUGGUAGAACUAGCCUGUUUUUGAUUUUAUAGCAGGACUAGAGUGGAUGAGCCUGUUGGUUUUCAUGGCUUGUAAAUGUGCCACUGAAUACCACAGAGUGUAUUUUGCUUUGUACAGUUCAUGUAUGUUCCAUUAGCCCAUACUGUGACAUGCUUUGUGCAAGUGCUACCAGUCUAAGCAGCAUGUCUUUUAGUGGAAGGUGUCCUUGAGGAGAUGGACCACUGUGAGGGACUGUCCCAUAGCAUUUACUUGGGUAUCCUUUUUUUUUUUUUUUUUUUUUUCCUUUUCUAAAAACAUCCUUUUGAAGUUGGUGCAACAAUCGACCUUAUCUGUGUGACAGGCUGUUUUAUGGCUCACAGCUAGAACCUUAGUUACCAAAAGUCUUUAACUUGUGAAUAAUUAAACUGCUGUCUACCAUUUUAAAGUGAUCCUUGACUAACAGGAUGGAGAAGGAAUGUUGUGAAGCUUCAAAUAUUUGAAGGGGACUUAAUACACUACCUGUCUUUGAUCUAGUUUGGCAACUGAGGUAGUAACCUCAAAUCUUUAACAUUGUCUGAUUCUACAUUGCAAUAAAGUUAUAACUGCGAGUGUUGUCCUACAUAUGCUCUAUGGUGGUAACUUUAACUGAUCUAUAUAAAUUGCUGUUGCACAAACUUGUCCAACAUGACCUUUACAAUAUACAGUUUCUGAUGGUGACCUCAUGAUGUCCUUUUGUAAUGGAAGAACUGCUGGUAAUUGUUUGUGAUCAUAUUUUCUCAAUGUUGAAAAUCACCAUUAUAUUUUCAAAGUAAUGCUUUCUGCAGGCAUGUGCUCUUAAUGUUUAGGAAUGUUACAUCUGUCUUAAGAUUGUAGUCUACAUGAUUGUGAAAAGCAAGACCAAGGUUGUUACAAAUACUAUCACACCCAUCAAAUAUUAAAUAUAUCUGUGCUGCCAGGUAUCAGUUUUUCUUACACAUGCGAUGAUUCCACUGAGGAUAGAUUUAAGUCACUAUAAAAUGUGAAGGGGGGGGGGGGAUCAAUGAACUCAAAGGCCCUUCUGCAUUCUUUUCUAGUACUAGGUGUUUGAAGAAGUUAUCCAAUCAGUUGUAUCUUGUUUUUCCUUGCUCUGAUAAGAGUGGGGGGCUGAUUCUGCUCUGCUCUUCACUCUACCAUCGUCUUGCUGCCGUGUCAUUUCGCUCUUUCGUUACUUCAUGGACUGCAAGGCUUUGCUCCUCAAUUAUUAAUCCUGCCCAUGACAAAACUUCUUUGCAAGCUUGCACUUAAUUCCAAUGUACCUACUAAGGACAUGAUACACUUAAAAGUAGUAUGUCAGAUGAGGAAAUUAGAACUGUUGAGAACAGUACCAAAACUUUAGUCCUUUGUGGUUGUUUUAUGUCCUUAAUCUCACUGCUUCUCUCACAUUAAAU
Molecule: long non-coding RNA, 2739 nt
Organism: Scleropages formosus (Asian bonytongue)
Lineage: Eukaryota; Metazoa; Chordata; Actinopteri; Osteoglossiformes; Osteoglossidae
Exons: 9
Source: RefSeq, a predicted model, not a curated record